Unclassified non-coding RNA from Erinaceus europaeus (western European hedgehog), 318 nucleotides. Its record names the gene 7SK. It matches the Rfam family "7SK RNA". From Rfam's summary of the family: 7SK was discovered as an abundant small nuclear RNA in the mid-70s but a possible function has only recently been suggested. Two independent studies have found that 7SK RNA binds the CDK9/cyclin T complex (known as elongation factor P-TEFb). P-TEFb activates transcription by phosphorylating the C-terminal domain of RNA polymerase II. Lineage: Eukaryota; Metazoa; Chordata; Mammalia; Eulipotyphla; Erinaceidae. The record is from Ensembl.
GGGUAUGUGGUGACCUGACUGUGACACCUGUCACCUCAUUGAUCACCAGGGGUGAAUGAGUUGAGCUUGUUGGUUAGACAGGUGUCCCCUUCCCUCACAAAUCCAUGUGCUAGAGAUCUAUAGUUGCUCCCUAAGUAGAAGAGGAUGACCUUCCCCAGAUACAUAUGUACUGGUUUAGGGUCAGUAAGUAGAUAUGCUCCCCAGCUAGAACCUCCAAGUAAGCUCUGAAGGUAAAUUUGUAGGAGAAUGUAAAAUAGUCAACUUUCCAAGACUUCAGACACAUCCAGGCAGGGUACUGCAUGAGGCAGACUGCUUUAU